This 497-nucleotide ribosomal RNA is filed under the name uncultured bacterium. RNAcentral describes it as "partial 16S ribosomal RNA". It matches the Rfam family "Bacterial small subunit ribosomal RNA", at positions 28 to 507 of the family's 1533-position model. The record is from RNAcentral.
GAUGAACGCUGGCGGCGUGCCUAAUACAUGCAAGUCGAGCGAACAGACGAGGAGCUUGCUCCUCUGACGUUAGCGGCGGACGGGUGAGUGACACGUGGAUAACCUACCUAUAAGACUGGGAUAACUUCGGGAAACCGGAGCUAAUACCGGAUAAUAUAUUGAACCGCAUGGUUCAAUAGUGAAAGACGGUUUUGCUGUCACUUAUAGAUGGAUCCGCGCCGCAUUAGCUAGUUGGUAAGGUAACGGCUUACCAAGGCAACGAUGCGUAGCCGACCUGAGAGGGUGAUCGGCCACACUGGAACUGAGACACGGUCCAGACUCCGACGGGAGGCAGCAGUAGGGAAUCUUCCGCGAUGGGCGAAAGCCUGACGGAGCAACGCCGCGUGAGUGAUGAAGGUCUUCGGAUCGUAAAACUCUGUUAUUAGGGAAGAACAAAUGUGUAAGUAACUAUGCACGUCUUGACGGUACCUAAUCAGAAAGCCACGGCUAACUACGUG